This 494-nucleotide ribosomal RNA is filed under the name uncultured bacterium. Its description in RNAcentral is "partial 16S ribosomal RNA". It matches the Rfam family "Bacterial small subunit ribosomal RNA", at positions 28 to 507 of the family's 1533-position model. The record is from RNAcentral.
GACGAACGCUGGCGGCGUGCUUAACACAUGCAAGUCGAACGGUGAAGCGCCUUCCUUUUUGGUGGGUGUGGAUGAGUGGCGAACGGGUGAGUAACACGUGAGUAACCUGCCCCCUUCUUCUGGAUAACCGCAUGAAAGUGUGGCUAAUACGGGAUAUUCUGGGUCUGUCGCAUGGUGGGUCUGGGAAAGAUAUUGUUUCGGUGGGGGAUGGGCUCGCGGCCUAUCAGCUUGUUGGUGGGGUGAUGGCCUACCAAGGCGGUGACGGGUAGCCGGCCUGAGAGGGUGGACGGUCACACUGGGACUGAGACACGGCCCAGACUCCUACGGGAGGCAGCAGUGGGGAAUACUGCACAAUGGGCGCAAGCCUGAUGCAGCGACGCCGCGUGAGGGAUGGAGGCCUUCGGGUUGUGAACCUCUUUCGCCAGUGAAGCAGGCCUGCCUCGUUUGUGGGUGGGUUGACGGUAGCUGGAUAAGAAGCGCCGGCUAACUACGUG